GCACACAACUAUGGGACUGAGGAACACGGCCUCUAGAUCUCCUGCCGGAGUCAGCCAGUUGCGACUACUUGCACACAUCGCGGCAAUGCCUGAAUGCAAGCGACGCCCGCCUGGGGGGGAUGACCGCCCUUCCGGAUGUUAAACUUCUUUUUAUCCACCAACGCCAGGCUACCACGUUUCUCGUGGGUUGACGGUAGGUGGGGAAUAAGGACCGGCUAACUACGUGCCAGCAGCCGCGGUAAUACGUAAGGGUCCGAGCGUUGUCUCGAAAUUAUUUGGGGCGUAAAGAGCUCCUAGGCGGCAUGUCGCGUCUGCUGUGAAAAGACCGGGCGCUUAACUCCGGUUCUGCAGUGGAUACGGGCAUGCUUAGAGGUAGGUAGGGGAGACUGGAAUUCCCUGGUGUAGCGGUGAAAUGCGCAGAUAUCAGGAGGAACACCCGGUGGCGAAGGCGGGUCUCUGGGCCUUACCUGACGCUGAGGAGCGAAAGCAUGGGGAGCGAACAGGAUUAGAUACCCUGGUAGUCCAUGCCGUAAACGUUGGGCGCUAGGUGUGGGGACUUUCCACGGUUUCCGCGCCGUAGCUAACGCAUUAAGCGCCCCGCCUGGGGAGUACGGCCGCAAGGCUAAAACUCAAAGGAAUUGACGGGGGCCCGCACAAGCGGCGGAGCAUGUUGCUUAAUUCGACGCAACGCGAAGAACCUUACCAAGGUUUGACAUCACCCGUGGACCUGUAGAGAUACAGGGUCAUUUAGUUGGUGGGUGACAGGUGGUGCAUGGCUGUCGUCAGCUCGUGUCGUGAGAUGUUGGGUUAAGUCCCGCAACGAGCGCAACCCUUGUUCCAUGUUGCCAGCACGUAAUGGUGGGGACUCAUGGGAGACUGCCGGGGUCAACUCGGAGGAAGGUGGGGACGACGUCAAGUCAUCAUGCCCCUUAUGUCUUGGGCUGCAAACAUGCUACAAUGGCCGGUACAAUGGGCGUGCGAUACCGUAAGGUGGAGCGAAUCCCUUAAAGCCGGUCUCAGUUCGGAUUGGGGUCUGCAACUCGACCCCAUGAAGGUGGAGUCGCUAGUAAUCGCGGAUCAGCAACGCCGCGGUGAAUACGUUCCCGGGCCUUGUACACACCGCCCGUCACGUCAUGAAAGUCGGCAACACCCGAAACUUGUGGCCUAACCCUUCGGGGAGGAAUGAGGAUAGUUUGUUUCCCCACCUCCC
RNAcentral lists this ribosomal RNA (1210 nucleotides) under Nocardiopsis terrae. RNAcentral describes it as "bacterial SSU rRNA". It matches the Rfam family "Bacterial small subunit ribosomal RNA", at positions 303 to 1477 of the family's 1533-position model. The record is from RNAcentral. Lineage: Bacteria; Bacillati; Actinomycetota; Actinomycetes; Streptosporangiales; Nocardiopsidaceae.